Molecule: long non-coding RNA, 784 nt
Filed under: Salvia miltiorrhiza (redroot sage)
Lineage: Eukaryota; Viridiplantae; Streptophyta; Magnoliopsida; Lamiales; Lamiaceae
Description: long non-coding RNA (SMIL_LNC006632)
Source: RNAcentral
UUUAAAAUCAAUUAUCGGAUGUUAUUGUAUACAUACAGUGAUUUGAAUAUUUAGGUAUAUGAUGAGAACAUCACAAUAUUUACUUCUAAAAAAAGCUAAUAUGUGUACUAAUAUAGUGUACAAUUCAGUAUCUUUAAAUAUCAUUCUGCCAGAAAAGAACAAAAAAAAAACCAAACAAUUAAUUAUUCCAAUAAACUCUGUAUACAUGUAUGCAGUAUGCAUAUCAUGAAAUGAAACCUUAACAUCAAACCUCACAACCAAAUGAAAAUCUUGCAAAAAAAUUGAGAAGCAAAUAUAUAUAUAUAAGCAACUAUUGAAAUAAAUUAAAAUCCAUCAUUAUAUAUAUAUUUAUAAAUUCCACACAUAUAUAUAGAAAAAUGAUGGAUACCUGAAGGUGGAGGUCGAUGAAUGUGAGGAGCUAUAACAUUAUGAUCACGUUCAACACCAUUAUUUUUUGGGCCGUGAAUAUGUUCUUGAUGAGAGCCUUUUCUAAAAUUACGAGUUGCCAAAACGCACAGCCUAGUUUUAUCAAUGCAAUUGCCCAUUAAUUAAUAUAUAAAUAUGAGGCCAAACGCCUCUCGACGAGAACAAAAUUAUUUAUUGAUCAAUUUGUGAUCAUAAUUUUGUCGUCGUGAUUUCUACCAUUUCGUCUCCUCCUUCUCUUUGAUCUGUGUAAUUUGAGAGAUAGAAUGGGUAUCAGACCAAGCUAGGAGAAGGAGCAUGAUAGAGAACGAAUUUUGUGCAGGCCACAAAAUUCGUCUUACUAAUUCACAUGCUUUUUCAU